Molecule: small RNA, 667 nt
Filed under: Arabidopsis thaliana (thale cress)
Lineage: Eukaryota; Viridiplantae; Streptophyta; Magnoliopsida; Brassicales; Brassicaceae
Description: ATSL032470
Source: RNAcentral
AUACAACUUCCUCCUUGACUUCCUAUGAAGAAGGCAACGAAAAAUCUCAACCAUUGUCCUGAUGAUUUGUACUCUCAGUUCGGAGAACCCUGAUAAUAGGUUUUUAAGAUCAAUUAAUCGUAAAGCACUAUCAUGUCGUUCUAGUAUUGAAGGUUGUCAAUCCAAAUGGGUGUGAUGCUAACAAUCAAGAUGCAAUCAGAGUUCACAGAGUCAAGCCAAGCAAUAACAGGUUUUGGUGUUUCUAGCAGUCCUAAAUGAACAUGUAGAAAACCGAAAAUCAAGCAGAAACAAAAAGACACUCGACCAACACAGCUCGUCGUAAAGCACUGGGUGUGGUCGAGUGACUGGUCGAGUAACAAGUAGUCAAUAAAACAAAGAUACUCGACUGUAGAGUUUGUUGCCAGACAACUGGGUGGUCGAGUAUCGGGUCGAGUAACAGGAAAGAAUUGUAGAAACUAAGCAACAGGUGACAAGAUGCAGUAAACAACAUGCUCAAUAAAUUAUCCCUAGACAAUAAGUUCGGUAACCAAAUCUAAGUGCCACCGCAAUAGAGAUCCUCAAGUUAAACUAGUCCCAGACUCAAUCACCAUUGACGAGAGCUAGCCUAACAGGCAUUACGAAUCAACAAGUUAAAGCCAAAACGCUCCUUGUAACCAAUACCUUGGUA